Anopheles funestus (African malaria mosquito) is the source of this 1870-nucleotide long non-coding RNA. RefSeq lists it as uncharacterized. The transcript has 2 exons. The record is from RefSeq and is a predicted model, not a curated record. NCBI's taxonomy places the organism in Eukaryota, Metazoa, Arthropoda, Insecta, Diptera, Culicidae.
GUAGCAGUGUCCCCUUGCUGGUGCUAGUAUUAUAGUGGCUAAUGUUACGCGUCCUGACCCUGUGGCUGUGUUCCUUAAAUUAAAUGUGCAUUUCGUGAUUUUCUCCCGCGACAUUCCCUACCGAAAGCAACGAUGAAAAGCAUCCCUUCAAGUAGAACUGGACCUUUUUCAGCAAACCGCUGGUGUGUGGUGAGUUUAAGCAAGUUACAUUCCAGAUGCUGUUAGGAGAAACUGUUAGAGACAUCGAAGAAACGUUCGUUGUUACGGUCGAGAUGAAGUACAAACGACACGCUCAACACGAUCCUCUGCUGAUACCAUCCAUCUGCUGGGAGCAUCCUUCCAUUCAUACGGAGAGGGGAAUAAGUAGAACUGAAUGUAUUAGAAACCGUAAAUGGAAUUUACUGAUUCACGGUACACACCACACGUGUACGUAAUCGUCUGCAAACCCAAAAAACCCACAUUCGUCCACCAUCUGUAACGUGUAACAAUCCUCGAACGCUUUAAAAGUAUCCAAAAUAGUAUAGUAUAACUAGUAUUGUGCGAGCUAAUUGCGAAACCAUAUCGGUAUGGUAGUGUGCUGUGAACGAGACCCUCCUCUCACCAUUUUCCCGACCACUCUUUUUGUCCUUACAAUCCCUUCUCCUCUAACCCUCCCUCUAGACGGUAGUAUAUUUUAAGAUAGCAACAGGAAACAUAACCGCACAAAACUAAACAAAAAAAACUAAUCCUAAUGACGAUUUCUGAAGCAAAGCCCAGCUGUGAAGGGAUAGGUUAUUCCACCUCAACUAUUAAAUGCUUUAAAAACACACAUCAAAACAUUCCUCAACUCCGUAAAACUAUGGGCGGAAAACAAAACAAAAAAACCCUAGAAAGAUACUUCACCACAAAACUCGACAUCAAACCCCAUUCAGAAGCAUAUCAAGCGUGUGAGGAAUAAAUUAUCCUUACAGCAUUCGGGCACGAUAUUUUAUAGCACAAAGCUAGUAUAUGUGAGAGGCAUUCCCUUGUAAACCUUCCAACCUUAUACCCAGAUCGUAUUACCGUUAUGAAAGGAAAACUCAGAACUAAGAGCUUCUACCGAGGAUCAAAUGAUCGUCAUAAUUCCGCAUGGGAAACAGAUACAUACAUCCAACCUCUCCCCGUAUUUUCAGGUCGCCUAGCAAACGAACAAUCUAGUAAAAUAAUUAUGAAUAUACACGUUAGGAGAAAGUAAACGGUCCCUUUCCCAUUAUCCUCGACUCGGGAUGGGGUUUGGUUGUUGUUUUACACUUUCAGUCAGGAAAGCACAGCACCUUGUAAUGGAAGGUUUUAGACUCCCGGCGAAUCAUUUGUGCAAAACGAACGAUCAGCCAAAGGUUUUUGUGCUUCAAGUAGUUUGAAUGUAGUUUGUAUGUAUGCUGAUACGUAAAAGUAGUAGUUUUGUACAGAACGUGUACGUGCGCCACCGAACAAACACGGGGUUUGACGCUGGCACUAUAAGUUAGAUUGUAAAACUAUCCAUCCAAAUCAUCCCUGCUGCAAAACAAAAAAAAACAGCUCAAAACCAACCAACCAAGCACCAAGCAGAAUGAUGAUGAUGAGUUUAAGCAGGGCAGUGGAAAUGAAACAUAUCGCAAAAUCCUGGUUAGUUUGUUCUUGUCGUCUUCUUUGGCAAACGACGUUUUCGAUGCAAUGCGAUUUUUGUAUACAGCUCGCUGCUUCCUUACCAUACCGUACAACCCUCAACCUGCCCAGUGUACCGUGUGCGGGCCAUUUGAACGUAAAUCCAAUGCAAAUCCCCCCAUUUUGCACCCAUCGUCGUCACCCAGUGCUGUGCUAUUCCUAUGGCAAAGCGAAGACAAAUAAAGGUAUGUGAUUUGUGUAAAGUUUA